Gadus morhua (Atlantic cod) is the source of this 2907-nucleotide long non-coding RNA. RefSeq lists it as uncharacterized. NCBI's taxonomy places the organism in Eukaryota, Metazoa, Chordata, Actinopteri, Gadiformes, Gadidae. The record is from RefSeq and is a predicted model, not a curated record. The transcript has 3 exons.
CUGCCCAGGAAAAGUGUUGUUUUCAUAAUAUGUCCCCUUUUAAUGAGUUUUAAUUUUGCAUUUGUUUUACAUGGUAAGCCCCCUGAUCUAUUUUUCAGAGAAGCCUUCCUUGCCCAGUAUGCACCAGGACAUUAAGUAAAAACAUUGAAGUAGAAAGAAGUACUAUCACGAUUAUAUAUUGAAUGACAUGGAAGAAGAGGGAAGAUAAGCUGUCGCAGUCACUUAUUUAUUAUUAGGCCGAAAGAUUAAUUUUUUUUGAAUGUUUAUGAAAUGUUGUGCUGCUGUGUGAGGCACAUGCUGCACUGCCCUCCUCUUCAUGUGUGCAGUGCAGGCUGUUUUGUAAAGAGGUUUGCCACGUGAUCAAAUGACACAACCCUCUCCUCCUCACUCACCAUGACCUUAACCCCACAUACACACUCGCACCAAGACACUAUCCCCUUAACCACCUCCUUCAAGUUCGGUUUCCCCAAACACAACGGGCGAACUGCCGGUCUGCCACAUAGCUACAGAACAGCUUGCAUACAGGAAGUCCCCUCAGCCGAAUAGGACUCAGGACAGAGGGGUCACAGACAGGUCAUAGGGCGGUUUGUGAGAAAGGAAAGGAAGGAAAGUGGGGAUUUGAGAGCUGGUGACUUGGCUGGGAGAGCUAGCCUAGUAACGCUAACGUUAAUCCCAUCUGAGCUCGACGUGGCUAGCUUUAGCCUAGCUGUGCAUUCUAGAACAGUCAAUGUUUUUUCGUUGCUGGAUUUCAAUCGGGUACCUCUGGCUUUUCCAAAACCAAACCUUUCACAGAGUAUCAGAAAGACACCGGAGGCGACGAAUGUAUCACCGACGCAUACGUCUGCUGACUAAUCAAAUGAUGGUGGAUCGUCCACCUAUGUAUUGAAGGGUGGAUGCGACUGUGCCCAUCCUGCGGAUAUGGCGCGAUGAGGGGGCUGAACUGUGGAAAGACUUUCGCCUGUCCAGACGUGCCAUGAACAGCCUGCAGAGGCUCCUGGACAGGGGGCAAGAUCAUGGUUGGGGGAAUCAAUUUGAAAUCCUGAUCUACACAUAUUGGCUUGCCAAUGGUUUGUCAUACCGGGUGGUAUCCAGUGUGUUCAGUGUACCGAAGGCAACUGUGCACAGAGUUAUACACCGGGUGGCACAAAGUAUCUGGAACAAUUUGAACAGGGUGAACUCCUUCCCACAGGCCUAUGUGGAAAGCAGUAGGGCAAGGGUUUGCUGAUCUAUCAGGGACCCCUGCUUUUGCAAAUGUUGUCGGGGCAAUCGAUGGAACACAUAUUCGGAUCAAGCCACCACAACUACAUCGAUUAGACUAUCUAAAUUACAACAACUUUUAUUCAAUUAACAUGCAGGCCAUAUGCGAUGCAAAGGGGACAUUUUUGGACAUUUUUGUGGGCUACCCAGGGUCUGUCCAUGACACAAGGGUAAUGAAAAACAGUUAUUUUUAUUUGACUGCCAGGUAUCCACCGCGGGGUUACAUGCUUUUAGGUGAUGGUGGGUACCCCUGCCUCCAGACGCCCGUAUGUCUGUUGACUCCCUAUAAAGAGCCGGUGAUUGGGCGGGUGCAGCAGCGCUUUAAUUACCGCCAAUCCAAGGCGCGUUCUGUGAUAGAGCGGGCCUUCGGGAUGAUGAAGACAAGGUGGAGGUCAACCCUUUUCCGGGCACUAGAAGUCAAGCCUACCUUUGCCCCCCAGGUCAUUGCUUCCUGUGCCUUCUUGCACAAUGUUUGCUUAAAUAAUGGAGACACACUGGAUCCUGAUGAAGACAUUGCCAGGGAUGACCUUGACCCCCAUCCCCCUCAAGAACAAAUUGGACUCAAUGAAACACCAGGAUUUGUUAUCCGAGACUCACUGGCUGCCCAAGUCUCAUAUGAAUUUUAAAUGUUAUUACGCUUAUUUAUCACUUGUAAAUCGUUUUUCUACAGUUCCCUGUUGGUUUUUAUGUUCCCUUACAAGUUUAUCCUGAUGAUUAUGUUCAUACCUUGUUAUUUAUUUGUUGAUUGAUUGUUAGAAAAAAAAUGUUUGAAAUCUAUCUGCUAGUAGAUAGUUACUAUAAUAGUUACUAUCUAAACUAUCUACUAACUAUUUUAAAUGUAAUUACGCUUACUAAUCACUUGUAAAUAGUUUUUCUACAGUUACCUGUUGGUAUUUAUGUUCCCAUACAAGUUUAUCCUGAUGAUUAUGUUCAUACUUUGUUAUUUACGUAUUUGUUGAUUGAUAGUUAAAAAAAGAACGUUUUAAAACGAUCUGCUUCUUGUAGCAUUUAUCACACAUAGAAAAAACCUUUUUAAACAAGAAUAUUUAUUUGUUCAACAAGUAACAUUAAAAUUAGAAAUAUAUAUAACAAUAAUAAAUAGGAAUAAUAAAUAGCAUAAAUUAAUAAAUAGCAAGAAUAAAAAACAUAGGAACAACAAUAAUCAAUAAUUAUAAUUUGUUGACCAUCCUCUCAAAGAGAUCCAGAAAGCGAUCCGUCUUGGCCUCACUUUCUUUAUGGCGCCUCUGCUCCUGAAGGGCCUCCUCAGCCAGGAGUUCUGCCACUGUUUUUGACCUCCUUCGUGGUGGUAUGAUGGAUGUGGUAGGGUGUACUGGGGUGCUGGCUGCUGUCGGGGGUGCUUGGGUGUAGGGCUCCACCAUCUCCUAAAGAAAUGGGGUCUUGAAUAGAUGACACAAGGACUGGUGGGUCAAUUGCUGGCCGGGCACCAAGAACCUUGUGCAUCAAAUCAAAAUACUGCCAAGUCGCCACAGUCACCUCUCCACUUUCAGUCCCCGACCCAGUUUUGGGAGUCCUCAAAUCCUGACAAAACAAACACACACACACACACACACACACACACACACACACACACACACACACACACACACACACACACACACACACACACACACACACACACACACACACACA